UGGACAUUGCUCCUCGUCUGACAUCUUUUCUUGAGAAAGAUGAAUCUUUUCUUACUCCUUGGAGUUGGAAUUCCAAUUCUUCUUCAAGUUCUUUAAACCAACAAGGAAGAAAAAGCCACCAUCAAUUUCAACCUGGGUCGUUUUUCGUUAGAGAGUAUCCAGAGUAUUUUGGGAGUCAUAAUUAUUAUCCGGUACCUAAUCAAUCUGAUUCGAAAAAGCCUAAUCCAUCUGAUUCGAAAAAGCCUAAUCCAUAAGGUUUGUUGACUGCGUUGACUAGAAGAGGUCUUAAUAGCGUGACAGUGAGAGAGCAAGGAAUGAAACAUGGAGAGAGUAAUUAAUUCUGAUAAUUCUUUAUAGUUAGUAUUGGAGGUAGUUUAGUUUAAUUUAUUCUUGUUUGUUGGAACUUGGAAUUAAAUAUGGGUCUGGAUUCUGAUUUUUCUGCAUCGUUUGGAAUAUUUUAGUAAAAUAUUUAGAUACAUUGACAUAAAAGUACAUUCUCUUAUUUCUGCAAAUUUUCUAAUUUUUCUUAUUUAUCUUACUCUUUCCAUUUGAGGAUAAGAAAAACUAUUAACAGAAUAUCUUUACAUGAUACAGUUUCUGUUUGAUAAGAAAAAAAUUAUCAAAACUGUAUGGUUUGCUUAGCAAGAAGUUGGUGUGUGAAAGCUUAAACCAAUCAAUUCUCAACCAUUGCUUUAUUUAUUUUAAAGCUAAUUAUUUCUACAGAUUAAUGUGUAUUUCAAGUUGUUUAUUUUCACUUUUCUGUUAUAAUUAGAUUAAUCUGAAAUUUGUUGAGAACUGAUAAUAUGGGUUAGAUCUUGGAUAUUCUAAAAUUUAGUGUUAAAAGAAAAAUCUUUAACCAAAAUAUAGAUUUAUUUUGUUUCUCAUUUAUGCUAGUUGAAAAUUUAAUAUUAAUUUUAAUGAGCAAUAAUGUUUGAGACACACAAAAAAAA
Arachis ipaensis is the source of this 950-nucleotide non-coding RNA. The record is from RefSeq and is a predicted model, not a curated record. NCBI's taxonomy places the organism in Eukaryota, Viridiplantae, Streptophyta, Magnoliopsida, Fabales, Fabaceae.